CGUGGGGACAUAACAUGGCGUAGCCUAAUUACAAUCCAACCUGUUUUGGGCUUGAUUGUAAUCCAUAUGUUAUCCUGAUGUGGGCUCAUGGUACCCAGCCACUUUUUCAAUCUCGGGCUGGGUAAGUAACAUCUAACUGGGCCGGAUUGGGCGUGAUAUCCGACCCGGUAACCAUCGGCGGCACUCGGCUGUACCCCCACAUUUCCGGCGAAAUGGCGGAACACAAUUACAGCGCCGACAAACCACCCAAUGAUGAGAAUCUCAAAUUGCCUCCGCCAGGAAGCCAUCGUCUUCUUGCACCCUGGUCUAAGGCGGCGAUUUGAGUGCUUCAUUUCCGAGGAGAUUCACGCCGCCGUUCAUAAAUCGCGGUUCUUGAGUCAGGUCCGUUCUCGACGGUGCGGGUGAUUUGUUUCUAACUAGACCACAAUUAGUCGCAGGACCAGUAAGCAUAUGGUCGAACAAUAUCAUGACAUGUUUAAACAAGAGAAAGCAUUAGUUCGAGAUUGUCUUGAAGAGUUUGAGACCGUUGAGCAAUGAGAUGUUUAUCACUUGAAGUGGAGAGAAUAUUUAGCUUGCCACUCUAAAGUGAACACGAUAUUGUGAGACAGACAAUGAUUGAGAUAUAACUUGGUAUUUCAGUGUUCCGCAAUUUGCUACUGCUAGUGCUAGAUCUGAGAAUGAAGAUCCUAGUGUGGCUGUAUCUAUGUUGGUGAGCUUCUUUAUUUGAUGGAUAUCUCAUCAUCAGGCUUGUAGGCUGUAGCAGGGCCCUCAUGAGAUUGAUGGAAUCUUUACUUGGUUUUAUAACAUUGACAUCAUCUUGGAGAUGGUGUAGCUGAUUUUCAGCCUGCAGGUAUUCAACAUUCCUGGAAAACAAAUGCCAGACAUGAAUGUUCUGAGGAUCAGAUAAUGAAGAUAUUGCAGUCGAAACUGCAUAUCAAGUUUGAACUCUAUUCUACAUGAUGAUCCGAGGAUGCCCACAACAUAAUUCCAGAAGGGCAGUUAACAGCGGUGAUGAAUAUUCUGCUAUUUGAGAGUUCAUUAAAGCGCUCUUCUCUUCAGAUUCUCCAGGCAAUGCAGUGGGUUUUCCAGAGCUAAAACAAUUGCACAAUGGUGCUGCCAUCUUUGAUGGACAGGGACCGGCCAAUUGUGCAACAAUUUAUUUUAUGUGAUGGAAUUGCAGCUAAAGUUUUACUUCGGAUGCAGGAGUAAUUGACUUUGUGGGCAAAAGAGAGACCAUGUUGUUGUGAAUAUCUUUGUGUAUGUGAGAUCAGUUGGUUGGUUGUAAAUAUAGGUGGUUUUUUAGUCUUCACUACAUUAUGCCAAGCUACAUACUUAGCUAAGUGAUGCGUCCUCUGUUCUGCGGAGCCUUAUAGUGCUAAGUUGAGUAGUAGUUGAAUAAAUACUGAGAUAUUACUCACUUAUACCGGUCAAUGAGCCAUUUGUGACUUUGCACUUUUCUGCUCCCAGUUUCCUUCCAUAGGAAGGCCGUGAGAUUUGAAAAACUGGAGAAUGAGCCACCUGUCGAUUGCCUUUCUUGCCUGUUUCACUUUGAUAUUUGCUGAGCUUCUUGGAGUAUGGUUCUCUCUCUGUUACAGUUUUUCAGAAUGAUCUUUCGUUUUCUAUAUGUCCAGGCGACAACUUGGAAACUAGUUCCUGAUUAACUUUUUCCGCUCUUUAGAUAAAUGUAUCGGAUAGUGAUUUUUAUUAUGUAUCUGCUUUUGAUAUUCUUGGCUUGCAUUAUAGUUCUCCCUGAUUUGUGUUUCCUGGCCCGCUCGAUUAAUCCUGGAGGUAUUAUCAGUUCAAAAGUUUUUUUGACUAAAACUUAAUAUUCAAGCAAUCUUGCCCUCUAUUUGUGUU
This is a long non-coding RNA of Sesamum indicum (sesame), 1857 nucleotides long. RefSeq lists it as uncharacterized. Lineage: Eukaryota; Viridiplantae; Streptophyta; Magnoliopsida; Lamiales; Pedaliaceae. The record is from RefSeq and is a predicted model, not a curated record.